This 495-nucleotide ribosomal RNA is filed under the name uncultured bacterium. RNAcentral's name for it is "bacterial SSU rRNA". It matches the Rfam family "Bacterial small subunit ribosomal RNA", at positions 899 to 1397 of the family's 1533-position model. The record is from RNAcentral.
ACUCAAAGGAAUAGACGGGGGCCCGCACAAGCAGUGGAGUAUGUGGUUUAAUUCGAAGCAACGCGAAGAACCUUACCAGGGCUUGACAUCCAACUAACGAAGCAGAGAUGCAUUAGGUGCCCUUCGGGGAAAGUUGAGACAGGUGGUGCAUGGUUGUCGUCAGCUCGUGUCGUGAGAUGUUGGGUUAAGUCCCGCAACGAGCGCAACCCUUACCUUUAGUUGCUACGCAAGAGCACUCUGGAGGGACUGCCGUUGACAAAACGGAGGAAGGUGGGGACGACGUCAAAUCAUCAUGCCCCUUAUGUCCUGGGCUACACACGUACUACAAUGGCGAGGGACAAAGCGAAGCAAGACAGUGAUGUGGAGCCAAUCGCAAAAACUCGUCUCAGUUCGGAUCGCAGGCUGCAACCCGCCUGCGUGAAGUUGGAAUUGCUAGUAAUCGCGGAUCAGCAUGCCGCGGUGAAUACGUUCCCGGGCCUUGCACACACCGCCCGU